CCAAUAGCGUAUAUUAAAGUUGUUGCAGUUAAAAAGCUCGUAGUUGAAUUUCGGGAUCAGUUGGUCGGUCGUGCCUUGGUACGUACUGGCCAAAUUGAUUCCUCCCUUCUGACGAACCACGAUGCCAUUAAUUUGGUGUCGUGGGGAAUCAGGACUGUUACUUUGAAAAAAUUAGAGUGUUUAAAGCAGGCUCGCGCUUGAAUACAUUAGCAUGGAAUAA
Molecule: ribosomal RNA, 220 nt
Filed under: uncultured Glomus
Lineage: Eukaryota; Fungi; Glomeromycota; Glomeromycetes; Glomerales; Glomeraceae
Description: partial small subunit ribosomal RNA
Rfam family: Eukaryotic small subunit ribosomal RNA
Source: RNAcentral